UAGGGAAUCUUCGGCAAUGGACGGAAGUCUGACCGAGCAACGCCGCGUGAGUGAAGAAGGUUUUCGGAUCGUAAAGCUCUGUUGUAAGAGAAGAACGAGUGUGAGAGUGGAAAGUUCACACUGUGACGGUAUCUUACCAGAAAGGGACGGCUAACUACGUGCCAGCAGCCGCGGUAAUACGUAGGUCCCGAGCGUUGUCCGGAUUUAUUGGGCGUAAAGCGAGCGCAGGCGGUUAGAUAAGUCUGAAGUUAAAGGCUGUGGCUUAACCAUAGUAGGCUUUGGAAACUGUUUAACUUGAGUGCAAGAGGGGAGAGUGGAAUUCCAUGUGUAGCGGUGAAAUGCGUAGAUAUAUGGAGGAACACCGGUGGCGAAAGCGGCUCUCUGGCUUGUAACUGACGCUGAGGCUCGAAAGCGUGGGGAGCAAACAGGAUUAGAUACCCUGGUAGUCCACGCUGUAAACGAUGAGUGCUAGGUGUUAGACCCUUUCCGGGGUUUAGUGCCGUAGCUAACACAUUAAGCACUCCGCCUGGGGAGUACGACCGCAAGGUUG
Molecule: ribosomal RNA, 550 nt
Filed under: uncultured bacterium
Lineage: Bacteria
Description: bacterial SSU rRNA
Rfam family: Bacterial small subunit ribosomal RNA
Source: RNAcentral